UACGUAGGGUGCAAGCGUUAAUCGGAAUUACUGGGCGUAAAGCGCACGUAGGCGGCUUUGUAAGUUAGAGGUGAAAGCCCGGGGCUCAACUCCGGAAUUGCCUUUUAGACUGCAUCGCUUGAAUCAUGGAGAGGUCAGUGGAAUUCCGAGUGUAGAGGUGAAAUUCGUAGAUAUUCGGAAGAACACCAGUGGCGAAGGCGGCUGACUGGACAUGUAUUGACGCUGAGGUGCGAAAGCGUGGGGAGCAAACAGG
RNAcentral lists this ribosomal RNA (253 nucleotides) under uncultured bacterium. RNAcentral's name for it is "partial 16S ribosomal RNA". It matches the Rfam family "Bacterial small subunit ribosomal RNA", at positions 524 to 776 of the family's 1533-position model. The record is from RNAcentral.